UCCUAAGCUUCUCCAGGGAAGUCCUGAGC
RNAcentral lists this non-coding RNA (29 nucleotides) under Rattus norvegicus (Norway rat). The record is from RNAcentral. Lineage: Eukaryota; Metazoa; Chordata; Mammalia; Rodentia; Muridae.